AAUUACACAAUGAUUUUUUGUGCUCACGUUUUUCAAUCAUAUUUGACAACUGUCCAAUAAACUAAUAUCUGUAGUAGCCAUCUCAGUGUCGUGUUAACCGUUCCUGUAGUUACUUAUUACCCUCUCUGUAGAAGUAACUAAACUGCAUUUCGAAAAAUUUUAUUCCAUUCGCAAUGUAACUUUAAAACGAGUUACUUUGUACUUCUGUCAUAUUUCUUUUUACAGAAUGCGAGGCAUUUUACUGAUAGAGGUGAUGCUUUGCAGUGGGCAGCCAGUGUGAGCCUUUCACCAAACGAGGUUCAGGAAAUUAAAGACAUCCAUUCAAGAAAUUGUCGCAAAAAGUGUCUAAAGGCAAGUCUUCAAUGCCUUAAAGAAUUUUACUGAUAUAGAACUCUUGCAGGUAACCUUUGCUGCCAGCUUUUUAAAGAAAGCAAUACAACAGCACUGCGAACUGUCUGGGGCUGUAUGGUACAACACAAAACAAAGUCCUCCUUGUUGCUUCCAGCCAGACAGGGAAGAGGGGCCUUUUCACAUCAUCUGGCUGCCACUUACAGGACAAGGAAACACCUUCAACCAUAUAUGCCCCCUUCUGCCAUGGAAGUGUGGUGCAUUAGAUGCUUUCUUGUGCAUGUUUUGGCGAGGAUUUAACACCCAACAUUCAAGUCGCAAUGAGAUGGUGCAGUGUCUUACCUGCUUUGAGUGGUACCACUGCGUUUGUUUGGACAUUUCUUUCAAAGAGGCCAAGGAUCUCACUAUAGUGGAUUGUGGCUGCACGUUGCCCCACCCAUAUCGGAGCCACGACAUAUCGGUGUACUCAAACCAAGGUAGCUGUUUCUACGGUUUCUAACGAAGGCGUAUUUGAAGACAUUAACAACAGAACUCCUAAUUAACAAAAGUAUACCUUCAUUAAGGCUACCACUGAACACCGAACAUCGUCUUUUAUCGCACCGAGACUUGAUGAGGUUGAUACUAUGGCCGAGCGCAUGACAGCAGUUGCAAUGCCUAUCAUUGCUUCACUUACGAAAGACCUACAGACCCGGCUCUUUAUGGAUGUGAUGCUCCCAGAAUAAUUGCAUUUGAAAUUGUUUCUAGAACGGCACGGCUUAUGGUUAAGUAUCUCAAGACUUAUCGUAUUUUAAUCUUUCAAUUAUUUACCGCGACUUUUCCAGCUUAAAAAAGGAGUUUUUGAUGACAAGCCUCAUCUGUGACGGUCACCUCCAAACUUGCCCAGUGUUUUACAUGUAACUUUUUGGGUUAACAGGUUUCCAGUAUGCUAUAUUUCCAGAUGGUGUACACUGCAAACCGUUUUUUAUUUCGGAAGUUAUUUUAAGCCACAAUUGCCUAAAAAGUUAACGCUUUUUCUUCUUAUC
Non-coding RNA from Pocillopora verrucosa, 1370 nucleotides. The record is from RefSeq and is a predicted model, not a curated record. NCBI's taxonomy places the organism in Eukaryota, Metazoa, Cnidaria, Anthozoa, Scleractinia, Pocilloporidae.